This 819-nucleotide ribosomal RNA is filed under the name uncultured Sebacinaceae. RNAcentral describes it as "eukaryotic LSU rRNA". The stretch from base 187 to 819 matches the Rfam family "Eukaryotic large subunit ribosomal RNA", at positions 1 to 612 of the family's 3401-position model. Lineage: Eukaryota; Fungi; Basidiomycota; Agaricomycetes; Sebacinales; Sebacinaceae. The record is from RNAcentral.
CUUUUGCUGAUGGAUGUGGACCUGGACUUUGUUGUGUUACUACAACUGGUCUGAAAUGGAUGAGUGCACCCUGCUGUUGCAGCGUCUUCAGUGUGAUAAGCAUCUUCACUGAUUCAAGUUCCUUCCGGACACGUGUGCAUUGUGGGCUCUGUGCUGGCAAACCGUCUUUGGACAAUCUUGACAAUUUGACCUCAGAUCGGGUGGGACUACCCGCUGAACUUAAGCAUAUCAAUAAGCGGAGGAAAAGAAACUAACAAGGAUUCCCCUAGUAACGGCGAGUGAAGAGGGAAAAGCUCAAAUUUUGAAUCUGGUGUCUUCGGUGCCCGAGUUGUAAUCUAGAGAAGUGUUUUCUGCCUCGGACCACACAUAAAUUCCCUGGAAUGGGGUGUCAUAGAGGGUGAGAAUCCCGUUUGUGGUGUGGACUACCUUGGCUCUGUGAUACACUCUCAACGAGUCGAGUUGUUUGGGAAUGCAGCUCAAAAUGGGUGGUAAAUUCCAUCUAAAGCUAAAUAUUGGCGAGAGACCGAUAGCGAACAAGUACCGUGAGGGAAAGAUGAAAAGCACUUUGGAAAGAGAGUGAAACAGUACGUGAAAUUGUUGAAAGGGAAGCGUUUGAAGUCAGUCACAUUGGUCGGAAUUCAGCCUGGCUUCUGCCUGGUGUACUUUCUGGCAAAUGGGUCAGCGUCAAUUUUGACCGAGAGAAAAAGACUUGAGGAAUGUGGCUGUCUUCGGGCAGUGUUAUAGCCUCUUGUUGUAUGUCUCGGUUGGGAUUGAGGAUCGCAGCACGCCUUAUGGCCGGGGUUCGCCCUCGGAACGUGC